CGCAAAUGUAAAUUCUUCCUAAUCGGAUAUUGACAACCAAGCGGCAGGUCACGUUCUGAAGUACUGUAUUCUAUUUUCAUAUUUACAAUGUGUACGAGUUCACUAUGUACAUGGCCUGCUAUAUUCUGAGUGUGCAAAACAUGAAGGACAUUGCUCUUUCCAUGACAGACUGACCAGAUGAAUCCAGGGUAUGGUAGUAGGUGCCAGGCGCACUGGUUUGUGUCAAGAACUGCAACGCUGCUGGGUUUUUCACGCCCAACAGUUUCCCGUUUGUAUCAAGAAUGGUCCACCAUCCAAAGAACAUCCAGCCAACAACAACUGUGAAUAAACACCAAUCAAUUGUGAUCGCUGGCUGUACAGCCCUUUCUUAAAAAACUAAAGACCGUCAUGAAGUACGAUCACAUCUGUUCCACCGGGGCCGAGACCAGUCUUCUUGUCUUCGCUGGACAGCUGUUACAUCUUUACCAAGUCCCUAACGUGUACACACCUGUCAAAUGGCCUCACCUGGGCUAUUCCACUUCUGACUCCUAUGUAGCGAAUUAGGAGGUAGCCCUGACUGGGACUCAAACCCGGAUCCAGUGACUGGCAAGCCAACCUCUUUAUUGUUACUCCAGUAGGUUCGGACCUCUUGAUG
Long non-coding RNA from Oncorhynchus tshawytscha (Chinook salmon), 634 nucleotides. The record is from Ensembl. NCBI's taxonomy places the organism in Eukaryota, Metazoa, Chordata, Actinopteri, Salmoniformes, Salmonidae.